RNAcentral lists this long non-coding RNA (3398 nucleotides) under Homo sapiens (human). Its description in RNAcentral is "HSALNT0312046". Lineage: Eukaryota; Metazoa; Chordata; Mammalia; Primates; Hominidae. The record is from RNAcentral.
GAGAUGACUUUUCUGUAAGGCAAGUAAUACUGUCAUCCAUAUGUGACAAAUGAAGAAACUGAGGCUUUGUGAGGUUAAGUAACUUGGCCAAGGUUAUAGUAAAGGUGGAGCUGAGACUGACUGAAGUCUGACUCCUUAUAUGGGUGACUUGAGCUUAAUAAAUGCAUGGAUUUAUCAAGUUCAACUCCCAAGAUUGCUGCUGUGCAGCACGAUUACUGUCCGUUGUUUUCCUCUUAUCUGCGAAGUAGUGUUGCUGAUAGUACUUACCUCCAAAUGACAUUAUGAGGAUUCAGUGAGUCAGCACAUAAGGCACUGUGCACAGUGCUCACUGCAUAGUGAUCCCUUGGUAAAUGUUGGCUACUGUCAGCAUCAUUAGCAACAAUUAUCACAGUACACGUGUGUGCCGAACCACAUGUGUCUCAGAGCAGUGUCCUCACCUUCUCUACCUUGGCCAUGGUUGCCUUGAGGGUCUGGGCACAGACAGCAUCUGAGCUCCAGGGAUCAUCAUAGUAGGGAAACAGCUCUCUCCCAGUGUUUGUCCAGGGUCAACACUGGCUUCAGCUGACCCCAGGAAUAGACUGGUCUCUUAGUAUUUGAGAAAAUACCUCUUUUCCUGGGAACAAAACAACAAUGCAAUGUAGCUCAUAAAAUAUUUGCCCUUGCUGUUUUAUGACCUGUGAGACAUCAAGGAUAUACAGAUCCAUGAUAUUUGUAGCAGGUGUCAUUUUUUAAAACACACUCAAAGUAAAUAUCAUUGUCAAACAACACACUGAAGAUUUUAUUUGAUGGUAAAAACUCAAGCAUGGCAUUCAAUCCUUCUUCCAGUUCAUAUUCCCCUGUAUCAGUGAGAAUGGAUUUUAAAAGUUCAAGACUUGUGUGGAUAUUAUCUCACUGUCUUCCUUCGGGCAGAUGGUGUGUGGCAGGCGAAUUUACUGACUUUUCUGUUAAGACUUCUCUGUAGAUGUUAAGAAAGUUUGAAGUUUUUGAGGAGAUGUUUUACUGGAGACAGAGUGCUGUACUGCCUCCUCCUCUGUGAGAUGAGAGCCUUAUUGCAGUCAGCGUGUCUGCAUUUAGCUGCCCAGUUGUGUCCAUAAUUUUAUGUUCUCAGUUUUGUUGUGUGGGGAAGAAAGAGAUAGUCAUGUCAAAAGGGGGCAUGGUUUCUUAAUGUGGAAGUCUAAAGAAUACACAGAAAUAACUACCUCUGCCUUCACAGGAUUUCUGUCAGAUUUUUGCCUAAUUAUAAAAGAAGUGCAGCAUAGAGGUCUUAUUACUGUGGCUAAGAUGAAGGAAAACACUCUCACGAUCAAUCCUCCAUGAUUUUAUUAUUAUUGAUAAUUCAAACGAUAUGACUGUACUCUUUGAGCACUGACGAGCACCAAGUGUAUUUUUAAACAUGCCAAGUGUGAUUAGUACUCCUUCUACACAUUCCCUUAAAUUUGUAAAAUCAUGUAAUGUGUUUGUUUUUUAUUUUAUAUUUAGAAUUAUUGCCUUGUAAACUCUCUUGCCAUACUGCAAGCAGUGCAAAGAGACCCAUUUUAAUUUUGCACGUGUAUUGUCAAGAAUCAUUAUGAAGAUCUACAAGUAAGGGUUGAACAGUUGUUCCUGAUGGAAAUGACGCAGACAGAAAGAAAAAGGAAUUGAGGAGCCUCUCAGUCUAAAAACAGGCAUAUAAGUGAUAUCUUAGUAAUUCGUGUCAGAAUGCCCCAAAAUCUGUUUUACGUUUUCUUUGCUUCAUGGAAAGGCUACAGACUGGGUUAAGUAUUUUUGCAGAGAUUUCUAUUCCACAUAGCCUUGACUCCUUCAAAGCAAAUUUGUUUUCUCUUUUACCUUUAGUUUCCUCAAACAAAUUGGGACUAAAGUCACCAGUGAAAUAAUGCGGGAUGUAUUGACUUAGGGGAGAUAUGUUUUUAAUUUUAACUUCUUGGGAAGUUGAGUUGACGUAAAUCCUCUUUACCAUAGUCUGCUGAGUUUUGCGUACUCUAGUUCUAAUCAAAAGUCAGACAAAGUCAAAAGAAUCUGGAGUUAAUAAAAUUCUCCUAUUUGUUUUCCUUCACAACAGUGAUAUGUCUUAGACUUUUACGCUUUAAUACCCCUCAUGAAGACAUACCACAGUACUACAUGUAGGCUAGCUUUAGAAAAUCUUGGAAUUAUGGUUUAAAUUGUAUAGUCAUUAACUGACAGAAUUUGCUUUUCUAAAAUACAACUUUUAAAAUUAGUUGUUGUGACCUUUAUAAACAUUAAGAAUUAAGGUAGAAUGUAAGUGAUGCAGUCUCAUUAAAUUUAAUCAAGUUCAAUAAAAAUUCCAAAUUCAAAAACCGUCUUCAUAAAACUGUGCGUUAUCACCAAACCAUUAAAUAGCACAUCAGUUUAAAAUUAUUAAAAAUUGCUAAGUAUCCAUUUAGCAUGAGAUACGUGUUAUGACUGCAGACACCUCCAAAACAAAUCGACAGUCUAUUGCACUGCAUUCUGAGAAUGUAAAAGCACCAUUACUUACUGUUAAUGGUACUUCUCUAAUGUAUGUAAAUACCUCAUCUGUACCCAAGCUCUUGGCAGUUAUUUCUUACUUCUUCCUAGACAGUUUAAAGAUCUUAAUUUAUUAAUAUUCACAACAAGUAGAAAGAUAAACACAUUGUUUUGAAGCCCUUGAUGGAUGGAGAUUGGAGAUGCACAGUGUUUGGGUUGAAUCAACAGCCGAGAGUAGAUAUUAACUUGUUGGCAGUAACUCAUGGCCCUGCAUGAAACAGAACCUGGAAGAGAGAAGAAGAAUUUAAAAUGCUGUUAUUGAGAAUCUCUGGAAGUAUAUUAUUCCAAGGUACCUUAGAUUUUAAAAUUUGGCCUCACCCUACACCUAUUUUAUGAUUUGUCCCCACUACAUCAAACUCAGUGUAUGCUCUUGCCAUGGUAAGCAUUUUUUAUUCACUUUACUGGAAAUGAUUGACAAGGACUUCUUCAGGAUACAUUGGGAGAGCAGUGUUUCCUAUUUAUUAUGUCCUUUCAUCUCUGCCUGACCUAGAAUAUUCAUGCUUCUGUCUUAACAGGUCCCAUGUUAUAAAAGUUUAAAAAAAAAGAACAAAAAGGAAUAUUCUGUGUUUUCUUGCAAACCCCAGCCCCCAAUCCAAACAAAGUGAAUGGCUUACAGACACGAGUGGUAGGAUUUUCACCAAUUUAGAUAUAAAAUGUGACAACGGACAGAAUCUACAUUCAAUGUCUGUAUCCUUCUCAAUUGCCACAGACUGGGUAGUAGGAAAGCAAAAGCAAAUUUUUGUAGUAAAAAUCUUCUUGGCAUUUUAUUUUUAUAGUAGAUUAGAUUCAGAGAUUUUAAUAAAAACUUGUCUUUAACUUUGUUUGAUAGAGAUGUACAAUCAGCUUAGCUUGGUUGCUUAAUAAAGUUAGAUACU